RNAcentral lists this unclassified non-coding RNA (411 nucleotides) under Hevea brasiliensis (rubber tree). Lineage: Eukaryota; Viridiplantae; Streptophyta; Magnoliopsida; Malpighiales; Euphorbiaceae. The record is from RNAcentral.
GGCACCUCUGUCAAACAUGUAUUUCACUAUACACAUGCCGUCCGCUUCUUGUUCUACCUGUCACUUCAUACCAGGAGAAUGGCCCAGAAGCUAGAGCAAAAGAUAUAUAUACCUAGUUGUCACACAAAAUGUCAAAAGACCACACCUUCGUAACUCAGUUGCCAACCUUCUUUUUCCGGAAUUCAGAGGGACUGGUCUUUGCUUGUGAUCUCCAGGUUUUCAAGGCAUUCAUGCAAGGCCUGGUAGAAUUUACUCUCAAGAUAAAUCCAUAUGCAACUACAAUCUCGAGCGACGAAUGCAUUUGAUACCUUUGACAGGUGAGUGCAUUCUGGCAGAAGCAAUUGGAUGUCCAUUCAGAGAACCUGAAAAUCUAAUAUCCCAGCCUUCAACAUUCUUGGGGACACAAACAUC